AUGGACAAAGUGUAUACAGAAAUCGAGUGAUUAUGUCAAAAAAUGAUGUAUGUCUUUUUUGACAAUUGCUUAAAAUAAAUUCUACACCGACAGAGCGGGCUGUUAAUCUAGAGGCUGGAGUACAAAGAAGUGGCACAAUGAUGUGGGCUGAUGACAUUUAUAAUUAUCAAGGAAUCACCCCUACAUUCGCUCAGAAUUUUAAUGAAACUGUCCCUUGGGAAGGAAGAACUGAUACCUUGAUAUCACGGUUUGUACAUCCUAUAUAUACGACAAAUUUUAGAACAUUAUAUAACGAAGAACCAGAUCGUCGUGGCCAUGUGAUGUGAAUAAAAGGACUUGAAUUUGAUGAUAUUUUUAUAAUGUUAGAUAACAUAACUAAGUAUCUUCACAGUAAGAUAGGA
Long non-coding RNA from Bombus huntii, 401 nucleotides. RefSeq lists it as uncharacterized. NCBI's taxonomy places the organism in Eukaryota, Metazoa, Arthropoda, Insecta, Hymenoptera, Apidae. The record is from RefSeq and is a predicted model, not a curated record. The transcript has 3 exons.